RNAcentral lists this small nuclear RNA (289 nucleotides) under Erinaceus europaeus (western European hedgehog). Its description in RNAcentral is "7SK RNA". It matches the Rfam family "7SK RNA". Rfam says of the family: 7SK was discovered as an abundant small nuclear RNA in the mid-70s but a possible function has only recently been suggested. Two independent studies have found that 7SK RNA binds the CDK9/cyclin T complex (known as elongation factor P-TEFb). P-TEFb activates transcription by phosphorylating the C-terminal domain of RNA polymerase II. The record is from Rfam by way of RNAcentral. Lineage: Eukaryota; Metazoa; Chordata; Mammalia; Eulipotyphla; Erinaceidae.
GACUGUGAAGGCGAUCUGGCUGCAGCAUUUAUCUCCUCACUGAAGACAACGGUUGAUUCUACUGAACUGACAGGCUAGAAUAGGUGUCCCCUUCCUUCACAGCUCCAGAAUAUAUAAGUAGCUGUCCUCUCCUCAUAGAACCUCAAAAUAAGCUCUCAAGGAGAGGAAAACCACUUAGUUCAGAGACUCACAUCUUUUGAUAUUUGUUAGAGGCCUCUGGUCAAGCCUGAAGACUGGCAAUUUGAGAAAAUAAAAGAGACACACAAAAGGCAAUCUUCUACCUUCUUGU